RNAcentral lists this ribosomal RNA (497 nucleotides) under uncultured bacterium. RNAcentral describes it as "partial 16S ribosomal RNA". It matches the Rfam family "Bacterial small subunit ribosomal RNA", at positions 28 to 507 of the family's 1533-position model. The record is from RNAcentral.
GAUGAACGCUGGCGGCGUGCCUAACACAUGCAAGUCGAGCGAACGGACGAGAAGCUUGCUUCUCUGAUGUUAGCGGCGGACGGGUGAGUAACACGUGGAUCACCUACCUAUAUUUCUGGGAUAAUUACGGGAAACCGGAUCUAAUACCGGAUAAUAUUUUGAACCGCGUGGUUCAAAAGUGAAAGACGGUCUUGCUGUCUCUUAUAGAUGGUUCCGCGCUGGAUUAGCUAGUUGGUAAGGUAACGGCUUACCAAGGCUACGCUGCGUAGCCGACCUGAGAGGGUGAUCGGCCAGACUGGAACUGAGACACGGUCCAGACUCCUACGGGAGGCAGCAGUAGGGAAUCUUGGGCAAUGGGCGGAGGCCUGAUGGAGCAACGCCGCGUGAGUGAUGAAGGUCUUCGGAUCGUAAAACUCUGUUAUUAGGGAAGAAAAUAUGUGUAAGUAACGGUGAACAUCCUGACGGUACCUAAGGAGAAAGCCACGGCUAACUACGUG